CCUACGGGUGACAGCAGUGAGGAAUAUUAGUCAAUGGACGAGAGUCUGAACCAGCCAAGUCGCGUGAAGGAUGACUGCCCUCUGGGUUGUAAACUUCUUUUAUAAAGGCAUAACACGAGGCACGUGUGCCUUUUUGCAUGUACUUUAUGACUAAGCAUCGGCUAACUCCGUGCCAGCAGCCGCGGUAAUACGGAGGAUCCGAGCGUUAUCCGGGUUUAUUGGGUUUAAAGGGAGAGUAGAUGGGUUGUUAAGUCAGUUGUGAAAGUUUGCGGCUCAACCGUAAGAUUGCAAUUGAUACUGGCAGUCUUGAGUAGAGUUGAGGUAGGCGGAAUGCGUGGUGUAGCGGUGAAAUGCUUAGAGAUCACGAAGAACCCCGAUUGCGAAGGCAGCUUACUAAACUGUGACUGACAUUGAUGCUCGAAAGUGUGGGUAUCAAACAGGAUUAGAUACCCGAGUAGUC
Molecule: ribosomal RNA, 460 nt
Filed under: uncultured bacterium
Lineage: Bacteria
Description: partial 16S ribosomal RNA
Rfam family: Bacterial small subunit ribosomal RNA
Source: RNAcentral